Molecule: ribosomal RNA, 586 nt
Filed under: uncultured bacterium
Lineage: Bacteria
Description: bacterial SSU rRNA
Rfam family: Bacterial small subunit ribosomal RNA
Source: RNAcentral
CCUACGGGAGGCAGCAGUGGGGAAUUUUGCGCAAUGGGGGAAACCCUGACGCAGCAACGCCGCGUGAGUGAUGAAGGCCCUCGGGUCGUAAAGCUCUUUUAGUGGGGAAGAAGCCCACCCGGGCCAAUACCUCGGGUGUCUGACGGUACCCACAGAAAAAGUUCCGGCUAACUACGUGCCAGCAGCCGCGGUAAUACGUAGGUGGCAAGCGUUGUCCGGAAUUAUUGGGCGUAAAGCGCGCGCAGGCGGUUCCUUAAGUCUGAUGUGAAAGCCCCCGGCUCAACCGGGGAGGGUCAUUGGAAACUGGGGAACUUGAGUGCAGAAGAGGAGAGCGGAAUUCCACGUGUAGCGGUGAAAUGCGUAGAGAUGUGGAGGAACACCAGUGGCGAAGGCGGCUCUCUGGUCUGUAACUGACGCUGAGGCGCGAAAGCGUGGGGAGCGAACAGGAUUAGAUACCCUGGUAGUCCACGCCCUAAACGGUGGGCACUAGGUGUAGGGCUCGUAAGGGUUCUGUGCCGAAGGGAAACCAUUAAGUGCCCCGCCUGGGGAGUACGGCCGCAAGGUUGAAACUCAAAGGAAUUGACGG